RNAcentral lists this ribosomal RNA (540 nucleotides) under uncultured Geobacter sp. RNAcentral describes it as "bacterial SSU rRNA". It matches the Rfam family "Bacterial small subunit ribosomal RNA", at positions 8 to 526 of the family's 1533-position model. Lineage: Bacteria; Pseudomonadati; Thermodesulfobacteriota; Desulfuromonadia; Geobacterales; Geobacteraceae. The record is from RNAcentral. RNAcentral also lists the same sequence under 1 other name.
AGAGUUUGAUCCUGGCUCAGAACGAACGCUGGCGGCGUGCUUAACACAUGCAAGUCGAACGUGAUCCAGAGCUUGCUCUGGUGAAAGUGGCGCACGGGUGAGUAACGCGUGGAUAACCUGCCCUGGUAUCUGGGAUAACAUCUCGAAAGGGGUGCUAAUACCGGAUAAGCCUACGGGAUCUUCGGAUUCUACAGGAAAAGGAGGCCUCUAUUUAUAAGCUUCCGUAUCAUGAUGGGUCCGCGUACCAUUAGCUAGUUGGUGGGGUAAUGGCCUACCAAGGCGACGAUGGUUAGCUGGUCUGAGAGGAUGAUCAGCCACACUGGAACUGAGACACGGUCCAGACUCCUACGGGAGGCAGCAGUGGGGAAUUUUGCGCAAUGGGGGAAACCCUGACGCAGCAACGCCGCGUGAGUGAUGAAGGCUUUCGGGUCGUAAAGCUCUGUCAGAGGGGAAGAAAUGAAACGUGCUAAUAUCACGUUUUCUUGACGGUACCCUCAAAGGAAGCACCGGCUAACUCCGUGCCAGCAGCCGCGGUAAUAC